This 223-nucleotide ribosomal RNA is filed under the name uncultured prokaryote. RNAcentral's name for it is "partial 16S ribosomal RNA". It matches the Rfam family "Bacterial small subunit ribosomal RNA", at positions 524 to 745 of the family's 1533-position model. The record is from RNAcentral.
UACGGGGGGAGCAAGCGUUGUUCGGAUUUACUGGGCGUAAAGGGCGCGUAGGCGGUCAGCGCAAGUCAGUUGUGAAAUCUCCGGGCUUAACUCGGAAAGGUCAACUGAUACUGUGCGACUAGAGUGCGGAAGGGGCAACUGGAAUUCUCGGUGUAGCGGUGAAAUGCGUAGAUAUUCGGAAGAACACCAGUGGCGAAGGCGGCUCACUGGCCCGGUACUGACG